Molecule: long non-coding RNA, 323 nt
Organism: Cucurbita pepo subsp. pepo (vegetable marrow)
Lineage: Eukaryota; Viridiplantae; Streptophyta; Magnoliopsida; Cucurbitales; Cucurbitaceae
Source: RefSeq, a predicted model, not a curated record
UUCUUGAACUGAAGAACCUUUUGUGUUACUAACCUGGCUCGUGAACUGAUCUGCCAAGAAAAAAUCAGCGAAGACGACCUGCAGAGGACGAAAAGUAUCCAAAAUUAGAGCUAAGUCGAAAGAGGGGAGCACAUAUGCAGCGGUACAGAGUUUUUAAGCAGAAGACGCGACUCGAGCGAUAUAGGAUGUUGAAUGGACACAAGAAGACUGCAACCACAACCUGCAAGCAGGGGUCCAUCUCCAUGUCAAGAUUGGAAAGAACACAGGCUAAAGCAAGAGUCGCCACGGCAAAACUGGGAAGCAAAACGUCACGGUACGCCAAC